RNAcentral lists this ribosomal RNA (207 nucleotides) under uncultured bacterium. Its description in RNAcentral is "partial 16S ribosomal RNA". It matches the Rfam family "Bacterial small subunit ribosomal RNA", at positions 568 to 774 of the family's 1533-position model. The record is from RNAcentral.
CGUGUAGGCGGCCAGACAGGUCUGCUGUGAAAACUCGAGGCUCAACCUCGAGACGCCGGUGGAAACCGUUUGGCUAGAGUCCGGAAGAGGAGAGUGGAAUUCCUGGUGUAGCGGUGAAAUGCGCAGAUAUCAGGAAGAACACCCGUGGCUAAGGCGGCUCUCUAGUACGGUACUGACGCUGAGACGCGAAAGCGUGGGGAGCGAACA